Molecule: non-coding RNA, 282 nt
Organism: Pimephales promelas (fathead minnow)
Lineage: Eukaryota; Metazoa; Chordata; Actinopteri; Cypriniformes; Leuciscidae
Source: RefSeq, a predicted model, not a curated record
CAUUCCGGACACUUUCCAUGCUGUCGUUGGGCUUCUCGUUGAGCAUUGCUUCUACAACAACACAGUCACGGUUUGAGUCAUCGAUGCCUGUUCACUUGUCCAUUUGAUCUCACCUGCAUCUUUGGCCACCAAGCCCGUAUGUGGAUGGAACGGGGAUGGGGAGCACCAGCUGUCUCUGUGACCAGACAUGUUACAGAACUCCCAUCGUUUCUGCUGUAACUGCUGCAGCCAGUAAUGCAUCACCUGCCUGUUGGGUGCCUGCAUGCAGAAAGGGCAAAAAAA